This 259-nucleotide ribosomal RNA is filed under the name uncultured bacterium. Its description in RNAcentral is "partial 16S ribosomal RNA". It matches the Rfam family "Bacterial small subunit ribosomal RNA", at positions 793 to 1055 of the family's 1533-position model. The record is from RNAcentral.
GUCCGCACGGUAAACGAUGGAUGCCCGCUGUUGGUCUGAAUAGGUCAGCGGCCAAGCGAAAGCAUUAAGCAUCCCACCUGGGGAGUACGCCGGCAACGGUGAAACUCAAAGGAAUUGACGGGGGCCCGCACAAGCGGAGGAACAUGUGGUUUAAUUCGAUGAUACGCGAGGAACCUUACCCGGGCUUGAACUGCAGGAGAACGAUUCAGAGAUGAUGAGGUCCUUCGGGACUCCUGUGGAGGUGCUGCAUGGUUGUCGU